CACGCUUUGCCUUGGCUCACUGCAGAGUAUGUUGGUAAUUCAGUAGGAGCGGUCGUGAGUCAGUGUGUUUUAGCAAGUUAUUUAUUUUAAUUUAUCAUCGUCAUGGUAAAUUAUUGUGUUUGUGGAGGUUGCACAAGCCUGUCAGGACAUCGUGUCCACAGGUUUCCUAACAAGAAAAAGGACGGUGGUAUGGGUGCCUGGGUGCGUUUUGUGCAGGUGAAAAAACGGGACUUCACCUCUGCAUCUGCUUCAAAAAACGCGGUGGUGUGUUGCGUUCACUUUACACCUGAGGAUUAUCAUCCCGGCAAUAUGAUGCAGUUCAGUAUGGGAUGCCUUAUGAACCAAGUGAGACUUGGAGCUGGUGCGGUUCCAGCCGUCAUCAUGUGCUUCGAUCGCUGGCACGAAACAUGGUCACCGAGCCGUCGGAGAUGCAGCUCGACGAAAACGUGAACUGUGGACCGUUGCCAAGUGGAGUUGUGUCCAAAAGGAACAACAAGCCAUUUUUUGGACAUCUGGCAUAUUGACAAGAGGACGCUUUAGAGGGUGUGAGGGCCAGCUGUUUUAACCACCUCUACUGGACUGCAGCUUCCACUCCUAAUGGAGAUGGAGAUGUGAUGGAGGCCAAGUGGAAAAGCAUGGUUAACCAUGUUCAGGACAUCCAUGAAUACGACACUCCAAUGUUCCCUCCUGUGCACAUCCACAUCUGAAAGGGGAAGUAAGGAACAAGGUGUGGAUGGAACCAGCAUGUGCAUCAGCCCUCAUGGAGUCUCUGAGAGUGGAAUACACCAGGUCUUCCACUACACCUGUUCCCCUUUCCAGACAAAGAUGAGGCUGUUGGAGCGUAUAUAGCAUAGCAUUCUUGAUUUAACACAUGUUAACAAAGAAUUAAUGUGAUCCCCACAUAGAUGUUGGGCAAGUUAUUAAACGUUUUUUUAAUGAGUUUUAAUUUUUUGGUUUUCAGUGGGUCAGAUGGUAUAUGUUUCCUUCGGUGGUGUAUGUUUGGUACAUCUACAUACUGUAUAUACAGUAGUCAACACUUGAAAUGGAUCAAAAAAGUUAAUCAAAGUUGUCCUAAGACAAGAACGGGUAUUGUUCACAAUUCAGGUACAACUUUGAUGAAAGAUUUUGAUCCACUUCAAAUGUUCAAUAGUUUAUUUUAACAAUUGCAAUGUUGUGAUGUGAGUUAGGUAUUAACAGUGCUAUGGGAUACAUUUUCUUAUGAUUUGGAGUAAUGUAAAUACAACUUAAUUGAAUUAACUAUAAUGCAUAUCUGCUUGAUAUAUAUGUAUAUGUAUAUAUAUAUGAUCAUAAACAAAUUUU
This is a long non-coding RNA of Triplophysa rosa, 1320 nucleotides long. RefSeq lists it as uncharacterized. The record is from RefSeq and is a predicted model, not a curated record. The transcript is spliced from 4 exons. Lineage: Eukaryota; Metazoa; Chordata; Actinopteri; Cypriniformes; Nemacheilidae.